CCAAAAUCACGUUUUAGACGAGUUUUGAGGACGCUGUAUCUUCUUUCAGGGACAAGCUAGCACCAUACUCUCUUCGGGAAAGUUGUAGAGCACCUUCCAGAGCAUCCGAAUAUGAAUCCGGUUUUAGUACAGCGUGAAACGUGGAUUUUAUAAAUAUCAAAAUCCAAAAAAAUGGAAAAUUGAAUCGCUUUGCGCAAAGUGAGGACUAAACCAAUCGUUCCCAAACUUUGGGGAGUUGUUUAGGACCCCAAAAGGAACUGAAAAAUUGCUGUGCUCCCUGAAUUUGUACAACUUCAUUUUUUUCCAUACAACCAUAUUACACCCUAAUGCACAUACAUCUGUUUCAGCUCAUCAAUGUCGAUUACUACUCUUGAAAGUGCGUCAGCUCCGACGUUUGAUUUUCCAGGUACAUAGUGUACUGUGAAAUCGAAUUCUUCGAGAUCUAAGCGCAUUCUAGUAAGUUUCGAUGAUGGCUCUUUCAUUGAGAACAGAUAGACUAGUGGUCAAUGAUCUGUUCUAACGACGAAUUUCCUACCAUAUAAAUAUGGCUUAAAAUGGUCAAUUGCCCAAUGUAUGGCAACGAGUUCCUGUUCUAUAGUGGAUUUAUUUGAUUCACCUUUAGUGAAUGUUCUGCUUGCGUAGCAUACUGCAAGCCGAACAUUAUCUUUUUUUUCAGGCAACAAGCAUCUUCCAAUAUGAUCUUGCCGGAAACCAUGCGCUUGCGUGUGGCCCGCGUGGCAUCCGUAGAACCCCCGAAAGCAGUUACGGCUACGGAAACACCCGCUCCACAAACCCACGUUGUCUCAUACUCCGGUGGCCAUAAAUCCGUCGGAUAUUGAAGAUUGGCGUCGCAUCCGGGUACAAUUUGUAUCAGCCUUGUAGAGGAGAAAAAGUCCAACACGACCAAGAUGCUGCCGGGCUGCCACAGAACACCAACAUCCAAGCCGGAAGCCUCGGACAAGGCAAAUCCCAUGUGAUAGUAUCCGAAAGAACCCAAGUCUGAGAAGAAUCGGUGAUUCGGAAUUAGUUAAAAAGUGAAGUGAAAAGUGAAAUUAUGCUUGCUUGAAUAAAAAAAAAUAAUAAAAACAAAACAAUAUUUUUUUUUUCGAGUGCAAUAACAAAAAAUCCGAAAUGACUGCACACGAUAAUAGCACGGCAUCCUAAAUAACAAUCCGUGCGACAUCGGUCGAAUGUCGUACGACAAUGUUAUACAAUUUCGAUUAUCGUUCGCACGAAAAACACGAUAUUUUGGUGCAAAAACGUAUAACAUUCGAUCAAAUGUCGCACGACAUUUUGGUGCAACGUCGUACGAUUGCACGAAAGACAAACGUCUGACGGACUUUUCAGUCAGGGGUACCGUUACCUGAAUCUCGUGGUUGGAUUUUGUGUUGAUUUUCCCUUGCGUGACCAGAAGAAACUGGAGCUCGUCGGCAACUUUGGAAUCAGCAACGCGGAGUCGUUUCUGGGUUUCGGGAUGGGUGACCCAGGUAGAACCCUUUAGAACCCAGGUUUCUAGAGCCCAAGCUUGCAGAGCUCCCAAGUCAUCCGAUGCACACGCUGCUUCUCCGGCGCCAGAUGGUCCUGAAUUAAGAAGAACUUGUUCAGCGAUUUGAUGUUCAGGUCACGGGGUGUGAUGGGCCUCUUGAGAGCCCGCACUCGCUGGAUGAACUGGUGCUUAUCACUAACCCUCCAGAACUUCACCAGCACUGCGUCUGUCUUCCGGUUCUGCUUGAAGAUCAGCGGACCAACCUCUUUGACGUUCUCCGCCACGUCAGCCCCGAUCACCUCACAGACCUUGUGAAAAACUUCCUGGUUGUGUUCCGGGCCUUGCAGCUUGAUGCCCUGGAUCAGCACCUCCUCCUGCAACCGCUCUUGCUUCAAGACGUCGAUCUCCUGCCUCAGGUGUCGAUUUUCCACGGUGACCUCGGUCACUCUGUUCGACAGCUUGAGCAACUGCCCCGGCAGAUCCCGAUUCAAGUUAGUUCGUCAAGCUUGGAUAGCUUAGCUAAGAUCUCUUGAAGUUGCUGGGCAACGUUACUGUUCGUUUUCGACUCCUUCCCAGCCUUGGCAGUGUUCGAGCGCCGGUUCGACAUCCUAACCUCAACUCAGCUCGCCUUGCCAACUCGCCAUCAAAGUUCAUCCGUCCGAAGCUGCGCCGUCGAGAGAUGAGCGUUUGCGGGCGGGAGUUGCUGAGAGAGUUUGAAAGUAAAUGAAAAUGGCUAGACACUGAACACAUUCUAAAUACUCACCGGUGACUUCUUCGGUAUUCUAGGUAAAUGUUUUUGAUCAGGUUCGUCGGAUCUCGCUCCAACCUCUGUAAGUAAUCCGAGUACAAUAGCUACAGGACCUGCGAUUUUCGUACAGACGGUCCUUCCAGAACUGGUGCAAACUGUUCUUCCGGAUGUUUAGGUAAUACUCGUCAAACAUGUCCCGCAAUGAGAAAUGGACUGCGGACCCUCGGGACAUCCAAAACUGUCCCGUCAUCACAUCCGGAUGAUGGGAACUCAUGGAUAACAUUUCGUUGUAAUUUUGAGUUUUUGACCCAGAAGGAGGGUAUCUGCGCCAAGACACCUCCUCGACAGCCGGGGUUGUCCUCAGCAGGACAGGGGAGUGGACUGUAAGACUCCGUUGGGGGUGCUUGGUCCGGAUGAAGAAAAAGAGUCCUGGUCGUCGGUUCUGGGUGAUGUUUAUUCGUGUGCCCUUUAGCCGGGGCUGGAUGAUACUGGAUGGGGAUCACGUUUUGGAUCGCCUUCUUAUAGGCGAGGGCAAAGAGAAAUCAAAGAUCUUAAACAAUAGGAGCCUCAAAUUACCAUGCGACCAACAAUAGCGCGAUUGUUGGUGCCGUGUACACAAAACUCGGGAUUAGAGACUGCCUCCAAGGUCAGCUAGUCUUGGGGUUGUGUGCAGGACAAUUUCUGGGGUAGUUAACCUAAUUGCGGACGCAACAGAGGGUAACAUGUCUCAUCGUGAGAAUCAUUGGAAAGUGAUAAACAUUGAAUUAAGACGAUAAUUAGCAAAAAAUAGUGCAGUGUAUUCCGCCGGGGAAUUAAACCCCGUUCUAUCUCAUACCGUGAGAACGCAUCACCGAUCUGCCAACGGAACCAAACCACCGUGCUGAGAGGCGACCUCUUAGAACGUGAUCUGUUUCUACUGGGUAAUCGUAUAACAUUUGUUCCAUGUCUCCGACGCAACCAUAACACCUAAUUAUUUCGCUCUUCUAUUAUGUCAAUUUCUCUCUCUUUCCAGUGGCUCUCUGAGAUCUUUGUGGGUCAAGUAUAUUUUUAGAAGCAUUUGUGUCGUUGUUCAUAGGGUCAUUGGGUGAAUACUGAACACCUCGACCCAAAUGCGACGUACAGUAUGUGAAAAAAGUAUUUACACCCCUUGGGCACUAUGCACAUUUUGUGAUGAAACAUGUAAAAAAAUUAAAGUUUGACAGGAACCUGGUACUACGUUUUGUUCAGAAACUCAUGCUACAAAAAGAUCAUGAAAAGAUGAUUUCUAUAAAAAGUUAUAUAACAAAUACUAUUACGAAAAUAAAAAAGGUGCAAAAAAAGUGUGUACACCUUUCGAAAAAUUAACAUAAAUAAUGUUAUUUGUUGACAAAUCACCAUAAAUCCAGUCUCCCAACUCCAAAUAGGCGUCCUUGACUGAUUAAAAAAAUAAUUUGGAUUGAAUAUAAAGUUUACUAACUACUUAGUAUAAAAGUUUAUAUAACUCUGGAAAUUCUAUAUAAAACUUAUGUAAACUUAAUUUUGCAAACUUUUAAUUGAACUAAAUGUCAAUAUAUUACCAUAUAAUUGCUAAAUAAACAUUUUGGAGUGGGUAUAACACCGUUUUGGGGGUAUUUGUAUCGAUAGAAUAGAUUUUUCGUUGGAAUUUCGUACCAACCCGGAAUUACGUCGUAGGAAAAUCCGCUGGCAUCCGAACCGGUCCACGAUUCACAAGUCAACCUAUGUGGAAUCGGAAAGGGCAUAAAAUUUCCGAUCUUUUGAUACCCAAACAUCUAGGUUUUCUUUAAAACCUACGUUUUUAAAUACCUAAGCAAAAACGUUGUUAUGGUUUCGUUUGAGCAACCUGCCGAAAAUGUAUGGAAUUUCGUAAUUUUUGUUCUCGUGGAUCAAACUUACUUUUUGCCCAGGUAUUUAAAAACGUAGGUUUUUACAUGUUUCAUCACAAAAUGUGCAUAGUGCCCAAGGGGUGUAAAUACUUUUUUUACAUACUGUAUAAACGCGGUUGCCUACUUGAACAAUGCCAAUAUUUGAGUGGAUUAAAGCCACCGCACAGAAAAAAAUCAAUUCCCGUAAUCGUGAAUAAGGUUCACGAAUGUGAGAUCCGUGAAUAUAUUCCUUCGUGGUUCUCAUAAUCGUGAACUGACUUCACGGUUUCGAGAAUUGAUUUUUUGCGGCUUAUUUUCGCAGUAAUUUUGAGUUUUUGACCCGCUCUUCUAUUAUGUAAAUUUCUCUCUCUUUAGAAUUAGGUGUUAUGGUUGCGUCGGAGACAUGGAACAAAUGUUAUACGAUUACCCAGUAGAAACAGAUCACGUUCUAAGAGGUCGCCGGAAUACAGUGCACAAUUUUUUCUCUAAUUAUCUUCUUUAUUCAAUGUUUAUCACUUUCCAAUGUUUCUCACCAUGAGACAUUAGGGUGUAAUAUGGUUGUAUGGAAAAAAAUAAAGUUGUCCAAAUUUAGCGAGCACAACCAUUUUUCAGUUCCUUUUGGGGUCCUAAACAACUCCCCAAAGUUUGGGAACGGUUGGUUUAGUCCUCACUUUGCGCAAAGCGAUUCAAUUUUCCAUAUAAAUUUGUAUGGGAAAAACAUUUUUUUUGAUUUUGAUAUUUAUAAAAUCCACGUUUCACGCUGUACUAAAACCGAAUUCAUAUUCGGAUGCACUGGAAUGUGCUCUACAACUUUCCCGAAGAGAGUAUGGUGCUAACUUGCUCCUAUAAAAAGAUACAGCGUGUUCAAAACUCGUCUAAAACGUGUUUUUUGCUCGAAAAUCACGUUUUAGACGAGUUUUGAGGACGCUGUAUCUUCUUUCAGGGACAAGCUAGCACCAUACUCUCUUCGGGAAAGUUGUAGAGCACAUUCCAGAGCAUCCGAAUAUGAAUCCGGUUUUAGUACAGCGUGAAACGUGGAUUUUAUAAAUAUCAAAACUCAAAAAAAUGGGUUUUCCCAUAUAAAUUUAUAUGGAAAAUUGAGGACUAAACCAAUCGUUCCCAAACUUUGGGGAGUUGUUUAGGACCCCAAAAGGAACUGAAAAAUUGCUGGGCUGGAAAAUCGAUUUUGAUAUUACACCCUAAUGAGACAUGUGUUGCUCUAACAUUUCGUUAAUAUAUUAAAAAGUAUAUUAAAAUUUCGUUAUUCUAUCAAGAUGUUUUUAUUAUUCUUGAAGUUUCCUCCUCCUUGGUGCGAUGAAAUGUUUUCAUAAAAUCCACCUAAAUUGUAAGUUUGAUAAUACAACACAGGUCAGUUUAACAAUAACAAUACGGCUCUAGAUUUAAUGGGUUUUUGGAAGGUAUCCAGGUUUUUAAGCGAAGAUGGCGUUCGAAUGUUGAACGUCCGAUAUGUCAAAAUCGCUCAGUAGCACAAAUAUUAGACAAAAAAUGUGGCUGUCAUGCCAUGGCACACUUUUUUCACAAUGUUGGUACCACUGCGCGAUUUUGACAUUUCGAGCGUUCACCAUUCGAACGCCAUAUUCGCUUAAAAAGCUGGAUAGUAAAAAAGUAAAUCUUUCCCAGUUCCUGAGGGGAACACCCUUGAAGAGUAUCGGGGCCGGCAUUUACAAAGCGGAUUCAGUGGCAAUUUCAUUCUCAACUUAAUGUUAACAUGUUAAGGUUAAUGUUAACAUUCCAUAGGUCGCCUCCCUAAGGUGUCGUGAUAAGGUCCAGUUUGUGAAGAUACACUACCUUCCCUUUACUAAGCAAUCAAUUCCAGAAGGGUAAAGAUCACCAGUUGUGUUGGUCCGAGCCGGGAUUUGAACCCCGAUCUACCGCUUACGAGGCGGAAGCGUUACAACUGGGCUACGUGGCUCGGUCUUUUUGGAAAGUAUACGUCAAACUAAACUUAAAAAUGAUGAAAAGUCAGAAUCGUCCAAAACAUACAUGGGAAAAAUUUAAUUUCAAAUAUAAUUUCUGUUCUCUAAGCGGCAUUCUUGCAGCAAGCAGAAUUUCUGCAGCGUCUUAAACUACAUUGCCUAAUCAAUGAGCGUGAAUCAAAUUAUUCAUAAACAAAACUAAUUUUGUGUUUCUUCUAUUUCAGCCAAAAUUCUGCCAGCUUUUUAAAGCAAGCCGAAAUGGAAUAGAACGUUUGGAAAUAAGUGACAGUGAAUUAGACAAAAACACAAGAAUUGUUACACUAGAGAACUGCGUUAAGAUUGUUCUUGAGCAAGCUCCUUCAAAUAUCAUCAAUGUUGUUACUAAAACAGGACAAAUUCA
Molecule: RNA transcript, 6433 nt
Organism: Culex pipiens pallens (northern house mosquito)
Lineage: Eukaryota; Metazoa; Arthropoda; Insecta; Diptera; Culicidae
Gene: Dok
Exons: 2
Source: RefSeq, a predicted model, not a curated record